RNAcentral lists this ribosomal RNA (497 nucleotides) under uncultured bacterium. Its description in RNAcentral is "partial 16S ribosomal RNA". It matches the Rfam family "Bacterial small subunit ribosomal RNA", at positions 28 to 507 of the family's 1533-position model. The record is from RNAcentral.
GAUGAACGCUGGCGGCGUGCUUAAUACAUGCAAGUCGAGCGGACGGACGAGAAGCUUGUUGCGCUGAUGUUAGCGGCGGACGGGUGUGUAACACGUGGAUAACCUACCUAUAUGACGGGGAUAACCUCGGGAAUCCGGAGCUAAUACCGGAUAAUAUUUUGAACCGCAGGGUUCAAAAGUGAAAUACGGUCUUGCGGUCACGUAUAGAUGGAUCCGGGCUGUAUUGGCUAGUUGGUAGGGUAACGGGUUACCAAGGCAAGGAUGCAUAGACGAAGGCAGAGGGUGAUCGGCCACCCGGGAAGUGAGACACGGUCCAGGGUCCUACGGGAGGCAGCAGUAGGGAAUCUUCCGCAAUGGGCGAAAGCAUGACGGAGCGGCGCCGCGUGAGUGAUGAAGGUCUUCCGAUCGUAAUAAUCUGUUAUUAGGGAAAAACCUCUGUGUCAGUUGCCGAGCACAGCUUGACGGUACCUAAUCAAAAAGCCCCGGCUAACUACGUG